Long non-coding RNA from Eriocheir sinensis (Chinese mitten crab), 743 nucleotides. RefSeq lists it as uncharacterized. The transcript has 2 exons. The record is from RefSeq and is a predicted model, not a curated record. NCBI's taxonomy places the organism in Eukaryota, Metazoa, Arthropoda, Malacostraca, Decapoda, Varunidae.
UAUAGGGAUGAAAGAGUGAAGAUGCUGGUUAACUCUUGCAUAAGGGGUUUGGACAGUAUAGGGAUGAAAGAGUGAAGAUGCUGGUUAACUCUGGGUACAGUCUCCAUAAUACAUGAGAUGGUCUGAUUAGAUUCUUGUGCUCCAGAGGUAAGUUUAAAAGAUUUCCCUCCAGGUUCACCAAAAACAGAAUAUGGAUCUCCCUGACAUACUCCUGCACCCAAUCCCUCCAUUUCACAAAGCAUUCCCACCCUCUGUCUCACUCACCUACACCCUCCUGGUCAUCCAACUCUCCUCCAUUUGCUCCAUGGGGCCAAACCGCUUCAAAGUCCAUCCCGUCACCCGUGUGCUGAGACAUUCCAAAACACACAUUCAUUACUCAUUCCAUCCAUUCUCCUCACACCACAAACACUCCUCAAGUAACGCCUGCCUGCACGCUUGACCUCUGACCUUCAUUUGCAUAUGUGGGGGUUGGUACAAUUAACUUAUUUUAUUUUUGUUGUGUUAUCAGGAAAUGUGUUUAGAAAAGUCGUUCAUUUCCUGUUAUGUUCAUGUAAGGAACUAUAUUUUAGAAGUAAAGGGAUAUAACAGUUUUGACUCCCAGCAAAUUAGAGCUUUUAAUAUGUUCAGUAAUGACAACGUUUUGUACUUAAAUUUGACAAGACAUUUUCCCGGUCGGUAACUCUCGAUUUACGCGUUUUUGAAAUACCGUGUGGUCCAAAAUCCAAAUAAAUGUCUAAUUAACA